CAAUAGCGUAUAUUUAAGUUGUUGCAGUUAAAAAGCUCGUAGUUGGAUUUCGGUUAAGAGCGACCGGUCCGCCGUUUGGUGUGCACUGGUUGGUUUUAACUUCCUGUAGAGGACGUGCUCUGGGUUUAACGACCUGGACUCGGAGUCUACGUGGUUACUUUGAAAAAAUUAGAGUGUUCAAAGCGGGCUUACGCUUGAAUAUUUCAGCAUGGAAUAACACUAUAGGACUCCUGUCCUAUUUCGUUGGUCUCGGGACGGGAGUAAUGAUUAAGAGGAACAGUUGGGGGCAUUCGUAUUUCAUUGUCAGAGGUGAAAUUCUUGGAUUUAUGAAAGACGAACUUCUGCGAAAGCAUUUGCCAAGAUGUUUUCAUUAA
Molecule: ribosomal RNA, 374 nt
Filed under: uncultured eukaryote
Lineage: Eukaryota
Description: partial 18S ribosomal RNA
Rfam family: Eukaryotic small subunit ribosomal RNA
Source: RNAcentral